CCUACGGGAGACAGCAGUAGGGAAUAUUGCUCAAUGGGGGAAACCCUGAAGCCGCAACGCCGCGUGGAGGAUGAAGGUUUUCGGAUUGUAAACUCCUUUUGUUAGAGAAGAUAAUGACGGUAUCUAACGAAUAAGCACCGGCUAACUCCGUGCCAGCAGCCGCGGUAAUACGGAGGGUGCAAGCGUUACUCGGAAUCACUGGGCGUAAGGAGCGCGUAGGCGGGAUAGCAAGUCAGAUGUGAAAUCCUAUGGCUUAACCAUAGAACUGCAUUUGAAACUGUUAUUCUAGAGUAUGGGAGAGGUAGGUGGAAUUCUUGGGGUAGGGGUAAAAUCCGUAGAGAUCAAGAGGAAUACUCAUUGCGAAGGCGACCUGCUAGAACAUAACUGACGCUGAUGCGCGAAAGCGUGGGGAGCAAACAGGAUUAGAUACCCGAGUAGUC
RNAcentral lists this ribosomal RNA (440 nucleotides) under uncultured bacterium. RNAcentral describes it as "partial 16S ribosomal RNA". It matches the Rfam family "Bacterial small subunit ribosomal RNA", at positions 338 to 795 of the family's 1533-position model. The record is from RNAcentral.